GCACAAUGAGCCACGCCCCCAAUUGCACUCUGCAGCCAGGAAUACUUCAACACACUUUUAGCAAAAAUAUGUCUGAAGUGGGUGAUGAAACCAUGCAGCCUGCACACAAGGUCCUCGUUUUACGACGUCGGAAACCGAAUUUGAAGAGGCCGAGGAUGUUCAACCGCACAACUGCAGGUGCCGAUGAAGGAUCGCAGUGGCUGGAAACUCCCUGCUGACCUCCCUCCCAGAUUUUCCCUUGCUCUUUCAAGGAUUACUGGAGACAAAGAUGACACUGGAAAGACCAGGAUGUUUGUAAACCACUGUAGCAGGAAGAUGAGAAUCUCAAUUUGUCCCCCCCCCCUGAAGUCCCCACAGCACCGGCGUGUACUAAAUAAAUAUAUUCAAGGUGGUGUCGCCAUGCUGUUUGGACCCAUGUAUCAAGUGUAAUGAGAGCCCUAUGCCACCACUAACUGCAGGCGGACUCUGUGCUGACUUUAAAUGCCCUACGGCGACCUCUUUAUUGCUGCAGCUGGACCCGUCAGACUCCCAUGGCAUCCCAACCAACAAACACGAUUGGUGCUCAAGGAUGAGAUGAGAUGAGGCGGGAGGCUUUUGUCUUGAAAGAGUUUGCCGCAUUGCUUCGCCGUUUCCCCAUCUGGGUGCAUCUUGGAGAGGGGUACAGCUCGGAGUUCCUGGAAAUCUUCUAGUGAGGGGCCCGUAGGAAGAUUUGUUCAGGUGGAUGGUGUUGACAAGUGUGUAGAUGGGAGUCAGCGGUGGAGAACUGAGUUGCAAGAGCGUCUGGCACCGUCUUUGGGAAGACGGCCUGGCUAAGCCCGUGGUUUCUUGCUGACCGCCCGAAGACGUCACCAUCAAGCACACCGACUGAGCUCCAUAUGUUGAAACAACAUGGUGGCCCUCACUUGAUUUUCUCGGCUAGGCAAUGGCAUGCCACAUCAAGCUACGGUAUUAUCCCGUGAGACGUGGGAAAUGGACGCAACAAAGCCCUUCUGCCUACAUACUACUAAAGUGCUUUAUUAUUUCAUUGCCUUACCCUCAUUCACAGCGGAGGACUUCAACGUAACGACAAUCAACAUUUACAUGUCAUUGUAUUUUACUUAAAGCAUAUCGGACGAGUCAUUGUAAUUUGUUCGGAUGUUUUCAUUUUCUUAUUUCUGAGCUUCACAACCAGUGUCCAUUUACCACUAAGUAGAUCAUUUGCCGUAUUUAAUAGACACUUAAUAUGUAUCAGGAGGUUUUGAUGACAUGUGCAAUACCUGUAUGCGUUUCCGGGCUGUAAAAAGAACAACUGGCUGAUCUCCUGACCCAAUUCCGGCCAUCCUACUUACAUCAUAUGGAGUGUCGAGCGUGAUGGAUUUCUUAUCCUAAUUUCAUCCUAAUCCCCUUUCCAAAGUAAUAUUUUGUGCUGACUUUGUUCGCUCUUCACAGCCAAGCAAAUCCCCCUGAUUUGGGAUAUUUCAUUUGCAUAUUGCAUUGGGCUGUGCCGGGGGGGGCUGAGACAGUAGGUCACGCUCUUGAACUCAAACGACAACAAAACACGGGCAUGAGCUCGAGUUCAGCAUAAUCUGACCCUCACAAUCUGCUGGCGCUGCUACAGGAAUGAGAUUUGGUCCGUUUAGUUUGUUGGAUGGAACGAGUUAGCAAUAUUAUUGAAAUGUGUGCAGAACUACGUACACAUGUACUUGCACAGUGGGUGACGUCGAAGACCCGCUCAACAUUAAUUCCCUCCGCAGUGCCAUAAUAGCCAUUAAGAUGUUGCGGUUUUCAAUAAGCGUUUAUAGACUUUGGGCGUCUGAGGACUAUUUUGCAAAAGAAAGUGAUGAGACAUCAGCACGGUUUACAAAGUGCACCGUCAACGCUGAGCUUGAAAGCCUCUCAGUUGGCUCAAUUGUUCUGUAGUGGCUGGAGCUCAGAUGAAGUCUGGAAUGUCCGUAUGUUUAGAUGUGAGUAGAGCAGCAUUAAAGGGCUCAUUAAAAGUC
This is a long non-coding RNA of Syngnathus typhle (broad-nosed pipefish), 1979 nucleotides long. RefSeq lists it as uncharacterized. The record is from RefSeq and is a predicted model, not a curated record. Lineage: Eukaryota; Metazoa; Chordata; Actinopteri; Syngnathiformes; Syngnathidae. The transcript has 11 exons.